GUAGGUGCCUGCUCAUCAGCACUCUCAGUUUCACUUUCCUAAUGGAUGGGAACUGCUACACUUUUCCCUGCCCUCUUCUCCUGUUCUUUUGAUUUCCUUGCAGCCAAAGUCUGCUGUCAAACAGUCUUCUGCGUCCCUGAGCCAGUUGGCUCGCAGGGCAAAGCUUUUCCUCUUAGUGCAAACUCUUGUCUUUCAGCUUCUUGCGUCUCAGCUU
Molecule: long non-coding RNA, 214 nt
Filed under: Brassica napus (rape)
Lineage: Eukaryota; Viridiplantae; Streptophyta; Magnoliopsida; Brassicales; Brassicaceae
Description: long non-coding RNA (BNAP_LNC010144)
Source: RNAcentral